RNAcentral lists this ribosomal RNA (246 nucleotides) under uncultured Pseudomonas sp. Its description in RNAcentral is "partial 16S ribosomal RNA". It matches the Rfam family "Bacterial small subunit ribosomal RNA", at positions 105 to 354 of the family's 1533-position model. Lineage: Bacteria; Pseudomonadati; Pseudomonadota; Gammaproteobacteria; Pseudomonadales; Pseudomonadaceae. The record is from RNAcentral.
GGUGAGUAAUGCCUAGGAAUCUGCCUGGUAGUGGGGGACAACGUUUCGAAAGGAACGCUAAUACCGCAUACGUCCUACGGGAGAAAGCAGGGACCUUCGGGCCUUGCGCUAUCAGAUGAGCCUAGGUCGGAUUAGCUAGUUGGUGAGGUAAUGGCUCACCAAGGCGACGAUCCGUAACUGGUCUGAGAGGAUGAUCAGUCACACUGGAACUGAGACACGGUCCAGACUCCUACGGGAGGCAGCAGA